AGUGAACGCUGGCGGUAGGCCUAACACAUGCAAGUCGAACGGCAGCACAGAGGAGCUUGCUCCUUGGGUGGCGAGUGGCGGACGGGUGAGGAAUACAUCGGAAUCUACUCUGUCGUGGGGGAUAACGUAGGGAAACUUACGCUAAUACCGCAUACGACCUACGGGUGAAAGCAGGGGACCUUCGGGCCUUGCGCGAUUGAAUGAGCCGAUGUCGGAUUAGCUAGUUGGCGGGGUAAAGGCCCACCAAGGCGACGAUCCGUAGCUGGUCUGAGAGGAUGAUCAGCGACACUGGAACUGAGACACGGUCCAGGCUCCUACGGGAGGAAGAAGUGGGGAAUAUUGGACAAUGGGCGCAAGCCUGAUCCAGCCAUACCGCGUGGGUGAAGAAGGCCUUCGGGUUGUAAAGCCCUUUUGUUGGGAAAGAAAUCCAGCUGGCUAAUACCCGGUUGGGAUGACGGUACCCAAAGAAUAAGCACCGGCUAACUUCGUGCCAGCAGCCGCCGUAA
Molecule: ribosomal RNA, 506 nt
Filed under: uncultured bacterium
Lineage: Bacteria
Description: partial 16S ribosomal RNA
Rfam family: Bacterial small subunit ribosomal RNA
Source: RNAcentral